GACGAACGCUGGCGGCGUGCUUAACACAUGCAAGUCGAACGGUGAAGCGCCUUCCUUUUUGGUGGGUGUGGAUGAGUGGCGAACGGGUGAGUAACACGUGAGUAACCUGCCCCCUUCUUCUGGAUAACCGCAUGAAAGUGUGGCUAAUACGGGAUAUUCUGGGUCUGUCGCAUGAUGGGUCUGGGAAAGAUAUUGUUUCGGUGGGGGAUGGGCUCGCGGCCUAUCAGCUUGUUGGUGGGGUGAUGGCCUACCAAGGCGGUGACGGGUAGCCGGCCUGAGAGGGUGGACGGUCACACUGGGACUGAGACACGGCCCAGACUCCGACGGGAGGCAGCAGUGGGGAAUAUUGCACAAUGGGCGCAAGCAUGAUGCAGCGACGCCGCGGGAGGGAUGGAGGCCUGCGGGUUGUGAACCUCUUUCGCCAGUGAAGCAGGCCUGCCUCGUUUGUGGGUGGGUUGACGGUAGCUGGAUAAGAAGCGCCGGCUAACUACGUG
This 494-nucleotide ribosomal RNA is filed under the name uncultured bacterium. RNAcentral's name for it is "partial 16S ribosomal RNA". It matches the Rfam family "Bacterial small subunit ribosomal RNA", at positions 28 to 507 of the family's 1533-position model. The record is from RNAcentral.